This 409-nucleotide ribosomal RNA is filed under the name uncultured bacterium. RNAcentral's name for it is "bacterial SSU rRNA". It matches the Rfam family "Bacterial small subunit ribosomal RNA", at positions 28 to 419 of the family's 1533-position model. The record is from RNAcentral.
GACGAACGCUGGCGGCGUGCUUAACACAUGCAAGUCGAACGGGGUGUUUAUUUCGGUAAACACCAAGUGGCGAACGGGUGAGUAACGCGUAAGCAAUCUACCUUCAAGAUGGGGACAACACUUCGAAAGGGGUGCUAAUACCGAAUGAAUGUAAGAGUAUCGCAUGAGACACUUACUAAAGGAGGCCUCUGACAUAAGCUUCCGCUUGAAGAUGAGCUUGCGUCUGAUUAGCUAGUUGGUGAGGGUAAAGGCCCACCAAGGCGACGAUCAGUAGCCGGUCUGAGAGGAUGAACGGCCGACAUUGGGACUGAGACACGGCCCAGACUCCUACGGGAGGCAGCAGUGGGGAAUCUUCCGGCAAUGGGCGAAAGCCUGACGGAGCAACGCCGCGUGAACGAUGAAGGUCUUA